This 301-nucleotide ribosomal RNA is filed under the name uncultured bacterium. RNAcentral describes it as "partial 16S ribosomal RNA". It matches the Rfam family "Bacterial small subunit ribosomal RNA", at positions 509 to 808 of the family's 1533-position model. The record is from RNAcentral.
CAGUCGCCGCGGGAAUACGAAGGGUGCAAGCGUUAAUCGGAAUUACUGGGCGUAAAGCGUGCGUAGGCGGUUUGUUAAGUCUGUUGUGAAAUCCCCGGGCUCAACCUGGGAAUGGCAAUGAUACUGGCAAGCUAGAGUGUGUCAGAGGAUGGUGGAAUUCCCGGUGUAGCGGUGAAAUGCGUAGAGAUCGGGAGGAACAUCAGUGGCGAAAGCGAGGUCCUGGACGUUUUCUGACGCUGAGACGCGAAAGCUAGGGGAGCGAACUGGAUUAGAUACCCCUGUAGUCCCUGUCUCUUAUACA